RNAcentral lists this ribosomal RNA (235 nucleotides) under uncultured bacterium. Its description in RNAcentral is "partial 16S ribosomal RNA". It matches the Rfam family "Bacterial small subunit ribosomal RNA", at positions 100 to 334 of the family's 1533-position model. The record is from RNAcentral.
CGGGACGGGUGAGUAAUGUCUGGGGAAACAGCCUGAUGGAGGGGGGUAACUACUGGAAACGGUAGCUAAUACCGCAUAACGUCGCAAGACCAAAGUGGGGGACCGUUCGGGCCUCUUGCCAUCGGAUGUGCCCAGAUGGGAUUAGCUAGUAGGUGGGGUAACGGCUCACCUAGGCGACGAUCCCUAGCUGGUCUGAGAGGAUGACCAGCCACACUGGAACUGAGACACGGUCCAG